This 221-nucleotide unclassified non-coding RNA is filed under the name Ambisporaceae sp. RNAcentral's name for it is "partial contains 5.8S ribosomal RNA and internal transcribed spacer 2". The stretch from base 1 to 71 matches the Rfam family "5.8S ribosomal RNA", at positions 84 to 154 of the family's 154-position model. The record is from RNAcentral. Lineage: Eukaryota; Fungi; Glomeromycota; Glomeromycetes; Archaeosporales; Ambisporaceae.
GUGAAUCAUCGAAUUUUUGAACGCAUAUUGCACUAACUGGUAUUCCGGAGAGUAUGCCUAUUUGAGGGUCAUUUGAAAUAAUAUAAAUUUCGAGAUUUUCUUGAAAUCAAAAAUGGGUGGGUCCAGCUUUCGUGUGUUGGUCGCCUAAAUUGCAAGCAAAGCUCAUUUCUUGGGUUGCGUGAUAUUUUAAGUUACUUCUUGCCUUCACAAGAAAUUUUCGA